Molecule: long non-coding RNA, 1207 nt
Organism: Etheostoma spectabile (orangethroat darter)
Lineage: Eukaryota; Metazoa; Chordata; Actinopteri; Perciformes; Percidae
Exons: 6
Source: RefSeq, a predicted model, not a curated record
AAGUGAGUGUUCAUUACAAAGUGUGCCUCUCGGUUAUGGGCAUGCCCAGUAGAGUUAGCCUUGCAGCCUGAAAUCCAGCCUCUAAAUUUGAACAGGAGGGAGACGAGGUGACUGAACAGACUUUUGUUGCUCUCUCUCUCUCUCUCUCGCUGCCUCUCACUCUCGCUCUGCUUCUCACUCUCUCUCUUCCUCUCGCUCUCGCAAUGUUAAUUCCUACUCCUCUCCCAGUACUGAGUGUGGAGAGAUUUUUUUUGCUCUGGAAGAGCAAGAGGAGGUGCAGAUUUAAUCUUGUGCAAACUAGAACAAGGGGGAAGUAAAGCAAAUAAGAAGAAGAGGGAAAAGAGAGAGAGAGACUUCACCCCCAUCACACUCCCUCAUUGCCUCCUCUGCCAACGACUUUCACCUCAGAAAUAGCGGAGGGACCAACUUCAAAAGGAAGUCAGCAAGGAGCUGGAGUGUGAAAUCUGAGAAGAGAAGCAAGAUGAGAGGCUGUCCGGAGCUGUGUUUGCUAUGCUGUCCAGGAGCUGCCAGGACAGCAGACGGGAGCCUACAGGUAACUACUGGCAGGGAUCUCAAUAAUCAUGGAAGACUCUGCUGUUGAAGACAAGGACGUGUGAGGAGUUACACAAAAGUCUUCAUGGUGGAGAGAUUGACAUUAAGUAUUCUGAAAAGCUCACUUUGACUGCUGCUGUUUCCGUUGCCUCACAUAUUUGUCUCUUUGAAUAUUCUUUUACCACAAAGUCUUUUUCAGUUCUUCAAUAUAAUUAAAAUAUUGUCAUGUCAUGUUAUCCUUUACCAUCAUUCAUUUAAAAAAGGAAAUGUUUCUCAAGUGCUGUGCAUUGAGUAAAUAGCUGCUACUUCCAUGCAACUCUUUGUAUGGAAGUUAAUGUGUUCAAUAACGCAUGGGGUGAUUCUUCCUCCAUUUUCCUUUCCCAAACACCUCGGUGGUAUUGUCUCUGCUGACGUGCUGCAGCAGAUUCAGGGGAACAAAUCAGUACUCUUUUUUGAGGGCUUAAAGAGCUGGAGGAAGUCAUAGACAGCGUUUUUUCUCUUUCCUCUCUUUGCCUUCCUCCCUCACCCGUUAUCUGUCUAUGAAAUUGAGUGCAUCACAAUCUUCCCAUAUGGCCAUAUGCACCAGAGAACUCAAGUACUUUGCAUGAUAAAUGAUAGACAGUUGGAGAACAAGUACAGCUGUAAAAUGCUCUCC